UCUGCGAGCUGGCCAGACGCAACCCUAAGAACUACCUGUCCCUGGCCCCGCUCUUUUUCAAGCUGAUGACGUCCUCCACCAACAACUGGGUCCUCAUCAAGAUCAUCAAGCUGUUCGGUGCUCUUACUCCUUUGGAACCGCGGCUGGGCAAGAAGCUGAUCGAGCCCCUCACCAAUCUCAUCCACAGUGCUCAUCUCGCUGUCCUCCGGCAUGCCCAACCACAGCGCCAGCAUCCAGCUUUGUGUUCAGAAAUUAAGGAUAUUGAUCGAGGACUCCGAUCAGAACUUGAAGUACCUGGGGCUGCUGGCAAUGUCCAAGAUCCUGAAGACCCACCCCAAGUCCGUGCAGUCCCACAAGGACCUCAUCCUGCAGUGCCUGGACGACAAGGACGAGUCCAUCCGGCUGCGGGCCCUGGACCUGCUCUAUGGGAUGGUGUCCAAGAAGAACCUGAUGGAGAUCGUGAAGAAGCUGAUGACCCACGUAGACAAGGCAGAGGGUACCACCUACCGUGACGAGCUGCUCACCAAGAUCAUUGACAUCUGCAGCCAGUCCAACUACCAGUACAUCACCAACUUCGAGUGGUACAUCAGCAUCCUGGUGGAGCUGACCCGGCUGGAGGGCACAC
Molecule: long non-coding RNA, 625 nt
Filed under: Homo sapiens (human)
Lineage: Eukaryota; Metazoa; Chordata; Mammalia; Primates; Hominidae
Description: non-protein coding lnc-MOB3A-3:1
Source: RNAcentral